RNAcentral lists this long non-coding RNA (2715 nucleotides) under Sus scrofa (pig). Its description in RNAcentral is "lncRNA (ENSSSCG00050071187.1)". The record is from RNAcentral. Lineage: Eukaryota; Metazoa; Chordata; Mammalia; Artiodactyla; Suidae.
CUAUUUCUUAUAAUUGUCAUAAACUAUCUAGCUUCACAGUUUUGCUAGUCAGUGAGCACUCAAUAAUGCAUUAGGAUCAUAAAGUAAUUUCUCAAGAGUACAAAUAAAACCUUUCAAUUAAAUUUUAAAAAUUGUCUACAAUUAUGUUUUUAUGCUAUAUACACUAUGCAAAGAAACAGAAGACAUGACUUCUACCUUUAUGCUGUUAAUAAAUUACUAGAUAAAACAUAUAUACAGAUUUAUUCAUUUCACAUUUAUUUACUGCUGGCUACAUCCAAAAUAGGCACUGCAUGUGGUCAGAGGACCGUGGGACAAGGACCUGCCAGUCACCCCCAAAUCCAUGGAUGAAUUUGUCAAGACAAAAUCCUGGGAAAAUAACUAUCCAUGUGGAAAAAUGCCAUUGGCCUUGAGAUAAGACUUUCUUUACCUGCCUGGUUUAGAAAAAACCCAUAUCUGUAUAGGGACCCUUAAUCGUCUCAGUUCCAGCUGUGUUUCUUACCUCUUCCAUUUUUUACCCACUUCUGCCUGGCUUCUCAUGAUGGCCAUGUAUUUGUGGACUUGAAAAAAGUAUAGUUGAAAGUCAUUAGUUUCUCUGCUGAUUUCUGAAUACUAUUCAGUUUCUGAUUCAUGAGCGUUCAGAAUCUUAGCAGCUAGCUUUGAUAUGGCCUUGUUUAUGCACAGUGAGAUCUUUUCUGAUGGUUGAUUAUCAGGAUGGCCUUCCUCCCAAACGACUUCCCUUUCCUACUUUUCAAAUUUGACUCACUAAAAUUAAUUUUACAGUUGACAUUUUGUAGUAUUUCAUUAGCUUCUCUUAACAUUUGAUUACAGUAUUAUCACACAAAUGGGAAUGGUGCACACACUGAAAUGAAAGGCUAUUGUCAUUAUGUAAGAGGUGAAAUUUUUAUAUUUUCCUUUCCUAUGGUUGGGGCAGUUUUGUUAGCCUGAUGGAUAGAGACCAAUUUUACACUCACAUUAUUACCAGGCCAUCAAGAUUGCAUGACCAGAGUCAGAGUCUGUGAGUAGGCGGUCCAGAUAGGUCAGCAACACUUAUGGACAUUUGAUUUCUGACAACAAAACUCCUCAACGGUCCAGGUCAGUUUUUAGUCUUAGAGAUUACAAACAGCCAUGAUACAUUUUAUCCCAUUUAAACAUGACACCUCUGUAAAACUUUAUUUUAUUUUUUAACCUCCAGAUAACCCCUGAGGAAACCAAGGCUCAGAUGAAUGAAGGGACUUUUCCUGGGAUUCAAAAUUAGGCCUAACUCUAAAUGAGUACAAAUAGCUCAUAUUUAUCCAGGCAGGACUCUAAGCGUUUUACAGGUAUUAACUAACAUAAACCUCACAACAACCCUUUAAGGGAGGUAUUAUUUUUGCCCUAUUUCACAGACAAAUAAACUGAGGCACAGAGAGGGUGACCUCCCAAAUUCCCACAGCUACUAAGUGGCAGAACCUGACCACAAACUUGGGCUGAACUCUGUUAUGCUGACUGUGUAGGACUUGGCAUGUUGGAUGACCACUUCGGCAUCUCACAUAGGUGUUAGAAUUCAGUAGGAUAAAAUGUAUCAUUACUUCUUGUAAGGAAUGAAAGUUGACCAAGAGAGCUGGGAGAAGUUCAGAAUCAGAAAGGAAGUGUGCACAUGUUAUAUUGAUGAGGGAUGUCCCAGCCAGUUUGAGUGUAAGUGUCAUCAAUAGAAUCAGAGUAAAUGCUGUCAGCAGCUUUCCCUUCAUUUACCAGCUUCCUACUUGGAACUUCCUCUAGGUGGUUAAGGAAUAAAGGUCAGAAAGUUAAGGGCAGGAAAUAAAAAUAAUUGUAGGUCAUAGGUCCAUUCCAUAGUAUUAUUAAUAUACUCUGCUUUCUUUUUGUGACCACACCUUCAGCAUAUGGAAGUUCCCCAGCCAGGGUUCCAAUCUGAGCUGCAGCUGUGGUCUGUGCCACAGCCACGGCAACACAGUAUGCAAGACACAUCUGAGGCCUAUGCUGCAGCUUUCAGCAACACCGGAUCCAUAACCCACUGAGCGAGGGCAGGGAUAGAACCCCUAUCCUCACAGAGAUAAUGUGGUGUCCUUAACCCACUGAGCCACAACAGGAACUCCUGUCUUUGUUUUAAAUUAUCACUCUCUCGGAGUUCCCAUUGUGGCUUAGUGGUAAUAAAUCUGACUUAGUAACCAUGAGGAUUUGGGUUCAAUCCCUGGCCUUGCUCAGUGGAUUAAGAAUCUGGCAUUGUUGUGAGCUGUGGUGUAGGUUGCCAACACUGCUCGGAUCUGGUGUUGCUGUGGCUGUGGUGCAGGCUGGCAGCUACAGCUCCGAUCUGACAUCUAGCCUGGGAAUUUAAAAAGCAAAUAAAUAAAUAAAUUAUCACCCUCUCAUUAAGAUUGUUUUUGCAAGUUGCCUACUAGGAAAUUCAAGAGGCUUAUAGUGAAAAACUUAGGAAAAAAUUUUUUUCCAUUCAGAUUCCACAAAUCUUAAAAUUUCACCGGGAGAUUCAUUUUUCUCUAUAUGUUAGAUGUCUUUGGCAUUGUCUCUACUUGCUGGAAAAAUCAUUUAUUUUUGUCUUGGGUAAAGAGCUUCUGUCCAUUUAUAACUUAAAACUACCUGGGGAAUUUGCUGAUUACCCAGAGAAUCUGAUCAAUGUAAACAACCAAAGCAGAUAAUAAAGGUUGAAAUAACUUAAAAAAAAAUAAGUUUUUGUUGUUAAGUCCAUGCAGAUCAUUGUCU